GUAGUAGUAUUAGUACUAAAGUAGUAUAGUAGUAGUAGUAGUAGUAUAGUAGUAGUAGUAGUAUAGUAGUAGUAGUAGUAGUAGUAGUAGUAUAGUAGUAGUAGUAGUAGUAGUAGUAGUAGUAGUAGUAGUAGUAGUAGUAGUAGUAGUAUAGUAGUAGUAGUAGUAGUAGUAUAGUAGUAGUAGUAGUAUAGUAGUAGUAGUAGUAGUAUAGUAGUAGUAGUAGUAGUACUAUAGUAGUAGUAGUAUAUAGUAGUAGUAUAGUAGUAGUAGUAGUAGUAGUAGUAUAGUAGUAGUAGUAUAGUAGUAGUAGUAGUAUAGUAGUAGUAGUAGUAUAGUAGUAGUAGUAGUAGUAGUAUAGUAGUAGUAGUAGUAGUAGUAUAGUAGUAGUAGUAGUAGUAUAGUAGUAGUAGUAGUAGUAGUAGUAUAGUAGUAGUAGUAGUAGUAGUAGUAGUAGUAGUAGUAGUAUAGUAGUAGUAGUAGUAGUAGUAUAGUAUAGUAGUAGUAGUAUAGUAGUAUAGUAGUAGUAGUAGUAGUAGUAGUAGUAGUAGUAGUAGUAUAGUAGUAGUAGUAGUAGUUGUUGGGGACUUGUUCUCAAAUGCUAAGAGUUAAGAACAAGGCAACAUAAAAAAUGUUAAGUGUUAAAGUCCUUCGUCCUUCGAAGCAUUAUGUCCCCUUCGGGAGAUAAUGAGUCUGGGACGAAGGUCAUAAGAGAAAUACCUUCGUAAACAUAACAAAUAAUGACGAAGGACUUAUAUAAAGCAUGAAAUAUAAUAUAAGCAUCAUCGUAGAAUCAUUUCUAUUUUAUUAACAUGGAAAAAUAGAAAUGAUUUCAAAUUACAAAUGUACCUUCGGUCUUGAGAGAGGGUAGAAAGUACAAGCGUGGCGCAAAAGCAAAUGCCAAGUCAGCGUGAACAGUACGGGGGUACUGUUCAUCUAUUUAUAGACACAGGACGCAGCCUGUGACGAAUUACAAUUAUGCCCUUUACAAAAGUUUACAACAUUAUGUUAGACCUCUAUGGAUAAAAAGGUCAUUCUAUCUUUAUGUCGGUUUGCAACGCCGAAGCUCUAUAAAAAGGAACCUUCGGCCAUUUCCUGGGGACGAUUUCAGCCGAAGCUGCUUCUUCACGCAAGACCUUCGGCGCAACGAAGCAUGGGCCCAACAGUAGCCCCUUUCGCGGCGCUAGAUCGUUUUUCGUAACGAGCUUGAACCGUGAAAAAAUCCUCUCAAGCUUCGGGAAGCCGAAGGUCCAAAAAACACCUUCCCUGAGCUCGUUGCCGAGAAACGAUUCAUUUCCCGAGAUCGUGUCGGUCCCACCUUGCAGAGUCACUGUUUGGUCCUUGCGGUCCACUGCGCAGCGAGUACAAGUUGCUGCCCGCCUGGUGUAAAAACCCUGCCGCUUUGCCUUCUUACCUGCAGCACUAUAUAAACAGACGAGUAGGUGUGAAGUUACCACAGCAUUUACUGCUAUUUGCACUGUUUUGCUGCCAAAAUUUUUAACCACCACCGAAGCUAGUUUGUCAGAUUUGAACGAAGCUCCAUCUUGAAGCCUGCUUCGGAGAAAAAAGUACCCAAGUUUCACAAGUUCAUAAUUAAAUGGCCAGAGUUCGCUCUACAGCUAGGGUUGAGCGUGAGGGGGACGAAACUGAAGCUUCGGAGACUGUGCCCAUCUCCGAAGCGAUGCAGCGCUCCGGACUGGUGACUGCGGAAGAAAUGCCUGCUGCCGAAGCAAACCCGACAGCUGCCGAAGGAGAAGGGAACAUUGAAGAAACCGACUCCGAAGAUGACUACCGUAUUGCCAUGCCCAGCAAACCCAGCCACCUAGACUUCGGAAAAUCGACUGUUUCAAAGGUUGAUCUCGCCAAGAUGGUGAAAGCAGGUUUUUUCAGUGAAGAUCAGAAGAAGCUACUUCGCUUCGGGGGAGAAGAGACCACCCCGAAGCCAGAGAAGGACGAGGUUGUCAUCUUCAAAAGCUUUUUAAAGGCUGGGCUAAGAUUCCCUGUUCACGAGAUUGUUGCAGAGAUACUGAAGAGGGUUGGCAUCUACCUUCAUCAGUUAACUCCUAACGCCAUCGUUAGGCUUAGCGUUUAUAUUUGGGCCCUCCGAAGCCAAGCAGUGGAGCCUUUUGCUGACAGUUUCUGUCGAGUUCAUGAAUUGCAUUAUCAAACAAAGGCCAGAAAAGAUGGGCUUCAUGAAAACUUCGGUUGCUACAAUUUUGCCUACCGGAAAACCGCAAAGUUUCCUGUAAUCAGUUACCGAAGCAAAUGGCCGGCAGGCUGGAAAUCAGAAUGGUUCUAUGUCAAGGUUGAUGAGGACAAGGAGAAGCUUGUGCAAAGUCCACUCGAGCUAACUUUCGGAGAAACCCGACCCCACUGCAACAUGACACCAGAGGGUCAAACUCAACGGGCAAUGGAUGAAUUCAGAAUCGUUGCAGAGCAUAUUGGUACCAGGGAUCUGGUUCAAGAAUUCUUAGCAUUCAGAGUCUUCCCUACUCUGAAAAAAUGGGAAAUGCCGAAGUUAAAGGGGGAGAAGAAGGAAGGGGAUCUUGUCCGGCUUCCUUACCACUUCAAAUUCAAGAAAUAUUUUAAGAAGCCCUGCCAAGAGUGGCUGGAUACAGUUGAGGUGAUGUGUAAUGAAAUUCUUGGGAAUUACUCGAAAAAGGAAGAUCAACUGAUGACAGCAGCCUUCGGCACCCGUCCGAAGCGAAGGCUGAACCGAGUGCUUGAUGCUCUGGGUUUCGAAUAUCCUGAUUAUGCGCAGCUGAACAAGGGUGCUGAGGGCGAGAGAAGAAAAAGAGCGGCCGAAGCUUUAAACAAGGAUGAAGAACAACCACCAAAAAGAAGAAAAUUGUCAAGAGAAAAAUAUCAACUCCAAAGCGAAAACUAUCCGAAGAAGAGGGGACCCCCACACCACCUUCUACUAGCGACGUGGAGGAAAUUCUAAAGGUAAUGACUGAACCCAUGCCCACGAAGCUAAGUCCAUUAGGGCCUCGACUGACGAAGCUUUUUCAAAAGGUGGCGGAGCCGGAAAAAACGAAGAUAGCCAAAGCGAAAAGGCAAAGAAUUAUUGCCGUAACAGAAGUUAUUGACAAGACGCCACCGAGGGCGUCAAUCCAGAAAACACCAGCUGUUGUGGGCACAGAAAAUGUCGAAGUCGCACCUUCGGAGGUCGCGGCUACCGAAGCCGUUACAGCCGAAGAUGUAAACUUAGAAUCUACUAAUGAAGACAUCAACAAAAUUUUAACAGACAUGGCUGCAGAAGAAGCUGCCACCACUGCUGAAGAAACCAUGGCCACAGUGCCUGGGAAAGGGAAAGAAAUAGCCGAAGACACUUCGGACGACGAAGCCUAUUCAUUUCAAAAUUUAGUCGGGCAAAAACUGUCGAAGGCCGAAAAAGAAGAGCUUAAGGAAUACGCCAAAUCUUGCGGAUACAAGCCAGGUGCUCUUCUAUUUGGAGGCAUUGAUGAUGAAAAACUGGGCUGCAUCCGGGACUCAGCUGGGGCUAAGGUCAUCGGUACUCUAUCAAAGAGUAUCGGUUUCCGAAACUAGAGACAGACAUCAGCCGCUACCGACGACAACAUAUCGUCGGCAGCUUAUUUUAUUCAAAUUUCAAGGUAAACAUCCUCCUCUCUAACUUCUAUUGUUUUUUAAUAAUGGCAAUAUUCUUUAACGAAGGUUGUUUAUUUGCAGAGCAUGCUUCUAAGCAAAGCUUUGAGGAUGCAGCAAGAUCUAGAAGAUAAGAAGCACGAAGCUAUAAUUGAAAAUUUAGAGAGCAAGAUAAAAGAACAAUCAGCUAUUAUUGAAAAGAAAGACUUCGAACUUCAAUCAACCGAAGGCUUGCUGGCAGAGACUGAAGCCAAAGUAGCAGAAUUGAAUUCGAAGCUUCUCUGCCAAUCAAAACAAUUUGAACAAGAGAAGCUAGAACUUGAUUCGAAACUUGAAGCCGAAGUCCAAGCCAACUCAAAUUUGAAGAAAUCAUUAACAAGCCUUCAAGACAAAUGUUUGAAUUUUAGCAACAAUUGUAUCCAACAACUAAAGAAGAUCUUUUACUCAGUUGGGGCCAGCAGCGGGAAAUUUACCCCUUCGGAUGAAGAUUUACCAAAAGCCUUCGAUCAUAUCGAAGCUGAAAUUGAAGAACUUGACGAAGUUAUAGCUGGGCACGGUGACUUCUGUGCCUGGGUAGCUUCUCGGGGUACUGCUGCAGCAUUCCUGAAGGCUGGCUGCGAGCAUGGAAAGAUUGUCAACAGGCCCAACUUCGCCCUGUCUCCAUCAAUUCUCGACGACAUUCCUGACCUCGCCCGGAGCAUCUCAAAUAGAUUCAUAAAAAUGAUAUGGACAAAAGGCGGGCGAGAGAAGGCUGGGGACGAAGCUCGAAGUCAUCUUGAACCAGUAAGAAAUCAUACUUUGUACUUACCUCCUCCUUCACACUUGAUUUUUACUCGGGAUACCUUGAUUCAUGUAGGAUGACGAAGCUGAAGGUGAUGCUUAAAGGAAAUGCCGCCGAAGCAGAAACCUGACGAAGGUUAUUAGGAGUAAACUAGAAAAAACUCAGGAGAAUUUGUAACAACUUUUUGUAAAUAUAAUUAAUCUAUUCUCAAGGAACUUUGUUCAUACCUUGUAAUAUAUUCUUACCCUUUUAUUGAGACGCUUUGAUGUGGACGAAAUCAGUAUUUUGAGCCGAAGGCGAAAAAACACCUUCCCUUCUUUUCGGACACAACGAAGCAUAAAAGACCAUUUCUUCUUUUUGCCAAAGCUUUUCUUUUUUGUACAUGACGAAACAUAAAAGACCGCUUCUUCCUCUUGCCGAAGCUUUUUCUUUUUGUACAUGACGAAACAUAAAGCGCUUCUUCUUCCGACUUUUUUUUUUGUACAUGACGAAACAUAAAAGCCGCUUCUUCUUCUUGCCGAAGCUUUUUCUUUUUUGUACAUGACGAACAUAAAAGGCCACUUCUUCCUUUUGCCGAAGCAACCACUUAGAACACAAAUGCUAUGAAUGAAUGCUUAUGAAUGCAAAUGCUAUGAUGUAAUGUGCGAAUGAAUGUCCAAAGCGUAUAACCAAGCCACACUCAACCAUUAUUUCCUUGUAAUAACCACACAUCAGCUCUGCAUUCCCUUAGGAACGACUUUGGAGCUUCCUCGUCUUUUACUUAGACGGUAUAAACUCUGCAUUCCCUUAGGAACGUCUUUGGAGUUUCUUCGCCUUUUACUUAGGCGGUAUAAGCUCUGCAUUCCCUUAGGAACGUCUUUGGAGCUUCUUCGUCUUUUACUUAGACGGUAUAAACUCUGCAUUCCCUUGGGAACGUCUUUGGAGUUUCUUCGCCUUUUACUUAGGCGGUAUAAGCUCUGCAUUCCCUUAGGAACGUCUUUGGAGCUUCUUCUCUUUUUUCUUUUUCAGUUUCUGCACUCGAUGGUGCGUUCUCAGCUGUUACAUUUACAUUUUUUGGGGGAUUUUGCUCUUAUAAGACUAAAAAAGGAAAUUACACAUAAUGGCCCCAUUAAAAACCUUUCUCCCCCUUCGGAAAGGAAAAGGGUGCCAUGAAAAAGAAAAGAAAAAACAUUAAAAAUUACAUCAUGUUAUACAUAGUAUCGCCGAAGCUCAUCCGCAUUCCAAGACCUUGGAAUUUCGUUGCCAUCCAUGUCCUUCAAUCUGUAUGAUCCAGGCCUUGACGAAGAUACUACUAAGAAUGGUCCUUCCCAUUUCAACUGUAGCUUACCCACUGUAUCUGGGUUAGCCACUCUCCGAAGCACCAAGUGUCCCGGCUCAAUAUUUUUUAGCCGGACUUUUCUAUCUCGCCAUUUAACUGUUUCAGCCUGAUAUUUAUUGAUAUUCUCCACGGCCUGAAGCCUGAUCCCUUCUAAAGCAUCCUUUUCCACAAGGCAAGCAUCUUCGGGACCUGAUUCUGCCGAAGCUACUACUCUUACUGAUCCAGCUUUUGCUUCCUCCGGAGUUAUUGCUUCGUCACCGAAUAAUAAUUUGAAUGGGGUAAAGCCUGUAGACCUUGAUGUUGUUGUAUUGUGGCUCCACACCACUUUGAUUAACUGAUCUGGCCACUUUCCCCUGGGUUGAUUGAAGAUUAACUUCAUUAUUCCUGUCAUUAUAAUGCCGUUGGCCCUUUCAACGAGCCCAUUUGACUCCGGAUGCCUGACUGACGCAAAAUGGAUCUUCGUUCCAAUUUGAUCACAGAAAUUUCUGAAAGCUUCGGAGUCAAACUGCGUUCCAUUAUCUACAGUAUUGCCUUCGGUACCCCGAAGCGACAGACAAUAUUCUGCCAGAAAAACUUUUGGACAGUGGCCGAAGUUAUUGUGGCCAAUGGCUUCGCCUCAAUCCACUUGGAAAAAUACUCCACAGCCACUAUAACAUAUUUUAGAUUCCCUUGAGCCGGUGGUAAUGGCCCAACAAGUCAAGGCCCCACCUUUGCAAUGGCCAGAUGGGUUGUAUCAGCUGUGUCAAAGACGAAGGUUGUUUUUGAUCUCUUGCACAUUUCUGACAACCUUCGCACUUUUGCACUAACUCCGCCGCAUCCGAAGCUGCCUUCGGCCAAUAAAACCCUUGGCGGAAGACUUUCCCAAGUAAUGGCCUGGAUCCAAUGUGGGAUCCACACAGGCCUGCAUGUAUCUCUUUCAUCAACUCUAUACCUUCGGCUCUAGAUAAGCACUUGAGCAGCGGAGCACAAACUCCAUGUUUGUAUAAUUCCCCUUCUAUCAUGACAUACGGACGAGCUCUUGCCUCUAUUCUUUUAUUGUAAGCUUCGUCAUCUGAAAGGACUUACCCUGAAGGUAAGAGAUUAUUUCAGUUCUCCAAUCUUCGCUGUAAACAGGAGAUAUGUUGAGGACUGCUCUUUCAAGGAGCUCCACUGAAGGUGCCUUUAUUGUUUCGAAGAACACAUCCGAAGGUAACGGCAGCCCCUGUGCCGCAGACUUAGCUAGCAAAUCAGCAUGCUCAUUUUGUCCUCGAGGAAUAUUCUUGACAGAGAAUCCUUCGAAGGAUGCUCGAUCCUUCGGACCGUAUCUAGAUAUUUUUCAAGCUUCGGAUCUUUAGCCUUGCAACUUUUGUCAACAUGACCCGAAACCACCUGGGAAUCAGUUUUAAGAAUUGCCCUUCUGAUUCCCAUUGCCUUUAAUUUCCGAAGGCCCAAAAGCAGGGCUUCGUACUCAGCAAUAUUGUUCGUGCAGCUGAAAUCAAGUCUUGCUGCAUAACAAGUUUUGACCUUGGAUGGUGAAACCAACACAGCAGCUGCACCUGCUCCGAAGAUUCCCCAAGAGCCAUCACAAAACACUGUCCACACUUCGGCAUCUUUAUUUGCUUCUUCAUCCUGAGCCCCUGGCGUCCAGUCGGCAAUGAAAUCUGCCAAUGCUUGAGACUGGAUCGAAGAUCUAUGCACAUAAUCAAUGUAAAAUUCGUUGAGCUCUGCAGCCCAUUUCCCAAUCCGUCCAGUAGCUUCUCUAUUUCUCAUUAUAUCCUUCAACGGCUGCGAAGAAGGAACAAUGAUAUUGUAUGCCUGAAAAUAAUGCCGAAGCUUCCUGGAUGCCAUUAAAACGGCAUAUAAUACCUUCUCCAGCUCUGUAUAAUUUUUCUUUGAGACACUAAGGACCUCAGAUACAAAAUACACUGGAACUUGCUUCUUAAGCUGGCCAUAAAGCUUCUCCUGGACAAGCGCCGCACUUACUGCUGAGUGCGAAGCUGCCACAUAUAACAACAGAGGAGCCCCUGGCGUUGGUGGAGUUAAUGUUGUGAGAUCUAUCAAGUAUUGCUUCAACUCUUCGAAGGCUUUUUGUUGACUUGGGCCCCAUUGAAAGACUUCGGCUGACUUCAGCACCUCGAAAAAUGGUAAGUUUCUUUCUGCUGAUCUGGAUAUAAAUCUGUUGAGAGAUGCCAGCCUUCCUGUCAAUCUUUGGGCCCCUUUUCUUGUAGUUGGUGGCUCCAUUCGAAGUAUAGCUUCGAUUUUAUUUGGAUUAGCUUCGAUUCCCUUUGUUGAAACCAAGCAUCCAAGAAAUUUACCCUUCUUUACUCCGAAGACACAUUUCUCUGGAUUCAGCUUCAAACCAGCUUGUCUGAAGCUGGCGAAGGUCUCCUGCAGAUCAACAAUAUGAUUUUCCUGCUUCGUGCUUUUGACGAUAAUGUCAUCAACAUAGGUCAACACAUUUCUGCCUAUUUGAGACUGAAGAACCUUCACAGUCAUUCUGCUGAAACUUCCUCCAGCGUUUUUGAGCCCCUCAGGCAUCCGAAGAUAGCAAUACGUGCCACUUGGAGUUAUGAAGCUAGUUUUCGGCUCAUCUUCCUUUUUCAUCCAGAUUUGAUGAUAUCCUGAGUAACAGUCCAAGAGACUCAUGAGCUCUGAAGAAGCUGCUGCAUCGACUAGAGAGUCUAUCCUUGGCAACGGGAAUUCGUCCUUCGGACAAGCCUUGUUGAGAUCUGUGAAAUCGAUACACAUUCUCCACUUGCCAUUGGCCUUCUUCACCAUAACAGUGUUAGCUAGCCACUCUGGAUACUUCACUUCUCUGAUAACUCCUGCACUGAGGAGUCUUUUUACUUCUUGCGAGCCCCUUCGGCCUUGUCAUCAGACAUUUUCCGAAGCCUCUGCUUUCGGGGUCUAAGGAUGGGUCAACAUUGAGCGAAUGUUCAAUAACAUCCCGUUUACUCCACAGAGAUCAUUAGCCGACCAUGCAAAAACAUCUUUGUUGUUGAAUAAAAACCUUAUCAAGGUUUUCUCCUGGUCUUCAGAUAAUUGCGAGCCCAACAGCACCUUCUGCUCUGCUAUGUCUCACACAAUAGCAUGGGCUUCGGCUGAUCUGCUGAAGCUGCCUUCUCCCUUCUGAAUUUGUACUGUUCACAAGCUUCAGUUCCAUCUAUAUUAUGGAUUGCCUUGGAGUCGGUCCAGCUUCCUUCGGCCCUUCUAGCAGCUUCCUGGCUUCCAUGGAUAGCAAUAGGCCCUUGGUCCGAAGGUAUCUUCAUGCAAAGAUAGGCAGGAUGAAGGAUUGCUUCGAAGGCAUUAAGAGUACCACGACCAAUAAUUGCAUUGUAAGGAUAUUCCAUGUCAACAAUGUCAAACACAACUUGCUCAGUUCUAGUGUUGUUGAUGAAUCCGAAGGUUACUGACAUGGUGAUCUUGCCCAGUGCUACAAUCUGUCUUCCUCCGAAGCCACAAAGAGGAUGUGUAGCAUCAUGAAUCUUAUCUUCUGGCUCUUGCAUCUGUCUGAAGGCUUUAGCAAAUAUGAUGUCAGCUGCACUGCCUGUAUCGACCAAGACAUUGUGAACCAGAAAUCCUUUGAUAACACAAGAGAUAACCAUGGCAUCGUUGUGUGGGUAAUCUUUGAGCUGAAGGUCCUCUUGAGAGAAGGUAAUAGGAAUGUGAGACCAUCUUGAUUUGAUGAAGGGUCCUUGCACCCCAACAUGCUGUACUCUUCUCUGCGCUUCCUUCUUCUGCUUCUUGUUAGCUGGCUCUGAGGACGAGCCACCUGUGAUCGGGAGCACCAGCUUCGGGUCCGAAGCAACUCCAGCUUGAUUGUUGAACGAAGCCAUCAGCUCAGAAAAGUGGAAGUGAGUUCACCGGAGGUGGGCGCCAAUGUUGGGGACUUGUUCUCAAAUGCUAAGAGUUAAGAACAAGGCAACAUAAAAAUGUUAAGUGUUAAAGUCCUUCGUCCUUCGAAGCAUUAUGUCCCUUCGGGAAUAAUGAGUCUGGACGAAGGUCAUAAGAGAAUACCUUCGUAAACAUAACAAAUAAUGACGAAGGACUUAUAUAAAGCAUGAAAUAUAAUAUAAGCAUCAUCGUAGAAUCAUUUCUAUUUUAUUAACAUGGAAAAAUAGAAAUGAUUUCAAAUUACAAAUGUACCUUCGGUCUGAGAGAAGGUAAAAAGUACAAGCGUGACGCAAAAGCAAAUGCCAAGUCAGCGUGAACAGUACGGGGGUACUGUUCAUCUAUUUAUAGACACAGGACGCAGCCUGUGACGAAUUACAAUUAUGCCCUUUACAAAAGUUUACAACAUUAUGUUAGACCUCUAUGGAUAAAAAGGUCAUUCUAUCUUUAUGUCGGUUUGCAACGCCGAAGCUCUAUAAAAAGGAACCUUCGGCCAUUUCCUGGGGACGAUUUCAGCCGAAGCUGCUUCUUCACGCAAGACCUUCGGCGCAACGAAGCAUGGGCCCAACAGUAGUAGUAUAGUAGUAGUAGUAGUAGUAGUAGUAGUAGUAGUAGUAGUAGUAGUAUAGUAGUAGUAGUAGUAUAGUAGUAGUAGUAGUAGUAGUAUAGUAGUAGUAGUAGUAGUAGUAGUAUAGUAGUAGUAAGUAGUAGUAGUAGUAAGUAGUAGUAGUAGUAGUAGUAGUAUAGUAAUAUAGUAGUAGUAGUAGUAUAGUAGUAUAGUAGUAGUAGUAGUAGUAGUAUAGUAGUAGUAGUAGUAGUAGUAGUAGUAUAGUAGUAGUAGUAGUAGUAGUAGUAGUAGUAUAGUAGUAGUAGUAGUAGUAUAG
RNAcentral lists this long non-coding RNA (10459 nucleotides) under Zea mays. RNAcentral describes it as "long non-coding RNA (ZMAY_LNC005818)". Lineage: Eukaryota; Viridiplantae; Streptophyta; Magnoliopsida; Poales; Poaceae. The record is from RNAcentral.